GAUGAAGAACGUAGCGAAAUGCGAUAAGUAAUGUGAAUUGCAGAGUUCAGUGAAUCAUCGAAUCUUUGAACGCACAUUGCGCCCGCCAGCAUUCUGGCGGGCAUGCCUGUUCGAGCGUCAUUUCAACCCUCGAGCCCCCCCGGGGGCCUCGGUGUUGGGGGACGGCACACCAGCCGCCCCCGAAAUGCAGUGGCGACCCCGCCGCAGCCUCCCCUGCGAAGUAGCACACACCUCGCACCGGAGCGCGGAGGCGGUCACGCCGUAAAACGCCCAACUUUCUUAGAGUUGACCUCGGAUCAGGUAGGAAUACCCGCUGAACUUAAGCAUAUCAAUAAGCGGAGGA
RNAcentral lists this unclassified non-coding RNA (343 nucleotides) under soil metagenome. RNAcentral describes it as "partial contains 5.8S ribosomal RNA, internal transcribed spacer 2, and large subunit ribosomal RNA". The stretch from base 1 to 120 matches the Rfam family "5.8S ribosomal RNA", at positions 35 to 154 of the family's 154-position model. The record is from RNAcentral.